GUAGGUGGCAAGCGUUGUCCGGAAUUAUUGGGCGUAAAGCGCGCGCAGGCGGUUCUUUAAGUCUGAUGUGAAAGCCCACGGCUCAACCGUGGAGGGUCAUUGGAAACUGGAGAACCUGAGUACAGAAGAGGAAAGCGGAAUUCCACGUGUAGCGGUGAAAUGCGUAGAGAUGUGGAGGAACACCAGUGGCGAAGGCGGCUUUCUGGUCUGUAACUGACGCUGAGGCGCGAAAGCGUGGGGAGCAAACAGGAUUAGAUACCCUGGUAGUCCGCGCCGUAAACGAUGAGUGCUAAGUGUUAGGGGGGUUUCCGCCCCCCUUAGUGCUGCAGCUAACGCAUUAAGCACUCCGCCUGGGAGUACGGCCGCAAGGCUG
This 373-nucleotide ribosomal RNA is filed under the name uncultured organism. RNAcentral describes it as "partial 16S ribosomal RNA". It matches the Rfam family "Bacterial small subunit ribosomal RNA", at positions 527 to 896 of the family's 1533-position model. The record is from RNAcentral.